GAUGAAGAACGCAGCGAAAUGCGAUACGUAAUGUGAAUCGCAGAAUUCAGUGAAUCAUCGAAUCUUUGAACGCAUAUUGCGCUCUCUGGUAUUCCGGAGAGCAUGCUUGUUUGAGUAUCAGUAAACACCUCAACUUCCAUAUCUUUUUUGAAAUGGGAGUUGGACUUGAGUGAUCCCAACGCUUUUCCUCACCGAAAAGUGGCGGGUUACUUGAAAUGCAGGUGCAGCUGGACUUUUCUCUGAGCUAUAAGCAUAUCUAUUUAGUCUGCCUAAAAAACAGAUUAUUACCUUUGCUGCAGCUAACAUAAAGGAGAUUAGUUCUUGUGCUGACUGAUGCAGGAUUCACAAAGACAGGCUUCGGCCGACUUUGUAAACUCGAUCUCAAAUCAAGUAAGACUACCCGCUGAACUUAAGCAUAUCAAUAAGCGGAGGA
RNAcentral lists this unclassified non-coding RNA (433 nucleotides) under soil metagenome. RNAcentral's name for it is "partial contains 5.8S ribosomal RNA, internal transcribed spacer 2, and large subunit ribosomal RNA". The stretch from base 1 to 120 matches the Rfam family "5.8S ribosomal RNA", at positions 35 to 154 of the family's 154-position model. The record is from RNAcentral.